This 477-nucleotide ribosomal RNA is filed under the name uncultured bacterium. RNAcentral describes it as "partial 16S ribosomal RNA". It matches the Rfam family "Bacterial small subunit ribosomal RNA", at positions 28 to 506 of the family's 1533-position model. The record is from RNAcentral.
GAUGAACGCUGGCGGCGUGCUUAACACAUGCAAGUCGAACGAGAAAUGGAGACGGACACCUUCGGGCGGAAGGCUUCAUUUCGAGUGGCGGACGGGUGAGUAACGCGUGGGUAACCUGCCUCAUACAGGGGGAUAACAGUUGGAAACGACUGUUAAUACCGCAUAAGACCACAGCACCGCAUGGUGCGGGGGUAAAAACUCCGGUGGUAUGAGAUGGACCCGCGUUCGAUUAGCCAGUUGGCGGGGUAACGGCCCACCAAAGCGACGAUCGAUAGCCGAUCUGAGAGGAUGACCGGCAACAUUGGGACUGAGACACGGCCCAAACUCCUACGGGAGGCAGCAGUGGGGAAUAUUGCACAAUGGGGGAAACCCUGAUGCAGCGACGCCGCGUGAGUGAAGAAGUACUUCGGUAUGUAAAGCUCUAUCAGCAGGGAAGAAAAUGACGGUACCUGAGUAAGAAGCCCCGGCUAACUACGU